This 614-nucleotide long non-coding RNA is filed under the name Rattus norvegicus (Norway rat). Its description in RNAcentral is "long non-coding RNA NONRATT010348". Lineage: Eukaryota; Metazoa; Chordata; Mammalia; Rodentia; Muridae. The record is from RNAcentral.
CAGCACACAAUAGUCCUCUAUGUUUUAUGCAUAAUACCCUGGAUUCUUUUCCGACUCCUGAAAGAGAAGGAACUCACCCUUAGCCUGCUGCUGAAGCUGGCCCUGGCCUUCUCUGCUGGCCUGCUGCCCUACGUCUACCUGCCAGUCUCAUCCUACCUCAGUCAUGCCCGCUGGACCUGGGGAGACCAGACGACACUGCGAGGGUUUCUAACACAUUUUCUCAGGGAAGAAUAUGGAACAUUCAGCCUGGCCAAGUCUGAAGUAGGAUCAAGCGCGUCUACAGUGCUGCUUUCACAGAUAAUAAAUAUGAAGACCGAACUUUCAUUCAAUAUCCAAGCUCUUGCCGUUUGGGCAAAUGUAUGUUUACCUAGAAAGUGGAGCGAUUCUGGAUGCAGAGCAAUGCGGUGGUGGCCGUUCUCGCUGGCCUUGGUUUGGCCACGCUUGUGUCUGAGACGAGCCGAGUGCUCAGCUGGAAUGGGGUUCGGAACCUGGAGUGGCUGUCAGCGGCCCUCUUCAUUGCUUAUCAAGUGUACUCAAACUACAGGUAACAGCACACGGCCACCUUACGAAGCGUGGGACUUACACCUGAGACACUGCAGGUCUUGGGACUGCUC